Molecule: ribosomal RNA, 601 nt
Filed under: Qipengyuania citrea
Lineage: Bacteria; Pseudomonadati; Pseudomonadota; Alphaproteobacteria; Sphingomonadales; Erythrobacteraceae
Description: bacterial SSU rRNA
Rfam family: Bacterial small subunit ribosomal RNA
Source: RNAcentral
GUGGCGCACGGGUGCGUAACGCGUGGGAACCUGCCUUUAGGUUCGGAAUAACAGUUAGAAAUGACUGCUAAUACCGGAUAAUGUCUUCGGACCAAAGAUUUAUUGCCUUUAGAUGGGCCCGCGUUGGAUUAGAUAGUUGGUGGGGUAAUGGCCUACCAAGUCGACGAUCCAUAGCUGGUCUGAGAGGAUGAUCAGCCACACUGGGACUGAGACACGGCCCAGACUCCUACGGGAGGCAGCAGUGGGGAAUAUUGGACAAUGGGCGAAAGCCUGAUCCAGCAAUGCCGCGUGAGUGAUGAAGGCCUUAGGGUUGUAAAGCUCUUUUACCAGGGAUGAUAAUGACAGUACCUGGAGAAUAAGCUCCGGCUAACUCCGUGCCAGCAGCCGCGGUAAUACGGAGGGAGCUAGCGUUGUUCGGAAUUACUGGGCGUAAAGCGCACGUAGGCGGCUUUUCAAGUCAGGGGUGAAAUCCCGGGGCUCAACCCCGGAACUGCCCUUGAAACUGGAUGGCUAGAAUACUGGAGAGGUGAGUGGAAUUCCGAGUGUAGAGGUGAAAUUCGUAGAUAUUCGGAAGAACACCAGUGGCGAAGGCGACUCACUG